GAGUUUGAUCCUGGCUCAGAUUGAACGCUGGCGGCAUGCCUUACACAUGCAAGUCGAACGGCAGCACGGGAGCUUGCUCCUGGUGGGCGAGUGGCGAACGGGUGAGUAAUGCAUCGGAACGUAUCCUGGAGUGGGGGAUAACGUAGCGAAAGUUACGCUAAUACCGCAUAUUCUGUGAGCAGGAAAGCGGGGGACCUUCGGGCCUCGCGCUCUUGGAGCGGCCGAUGUCGGAUUAGCUAGUUGGUGAGGUAAAGGCUCACCAAGGCGACGAUCCGUAGCAGGUCUGAGAGGAUGAUCUGCCACACUGGAACUGAGACACGGUCCAGACUCCUACGGGAGGCAGCAGUGGGAUUUGGACAAUGGGGCACCCUGAUCCAGCCAUGCCGCGUGAGUGAAGAAGGCC
This 403-nucleotide ribosomal RNA is filed under the name bacterium enrichment culture clone ALO1_GLFRUDD03GR2FH. RNAcentral describes it as "bacterial SSU rRNA". It matches the Rfam family "Bacterial small subunit ribosomal RNA", at positions 9 to 416 of the family's 1533-position model. The record is from RNAcentral.